UACGUAGGGGGCAAGCGUUGUCCGGAUUUAUUGGGCGUAAAAGGCUUGUAGGUGGCCACGCCAAGUCGGAUGUGAAAUCUCCCGGCUCAACUGGGAGGGGUCAUUCGAUACUGGCGGGCUCGAGGCCGGUAGGGGGAAGUGGAAUUCCUGGUGUAGCGGUGAAAUGCGCAGAUAUCAGGAGGAACACCGGUGGCGAAGGCGGUUCUCUGGGCAUGUCCUGACGCUGAGGAGCGAAAGUGUGGGGAGCGAACAGG
RNAcentral lists this ribosomal RNA (254 nucleotides) under uncultured bacterium. Its description in RNAcentral is "partial 16S ribosomal RNA". It matches the Rfam family "Bacterial small subunit ribosomal RNA", at positions 524 to 776 of the family's 1533-position model. The record is from RNAcentral.